UAAGGAAUAUUGGUCAAUGGAGGCAACUCUGAACCAGCCAUGCCGCGUGCAGGAAGAAGGCCCUAUGGGUCGUAAACUGCUUUUGAACAAGAGAAAACCCCGGUACGUGUACUGGGUUGAUAGUAUUGUUAGAAUAAGCAUCGGCUAACUUCGUGCCAGCAGCCGCGGUAAGACGAAGGAUGCAAGCGUUAUCCGGAUUCAUUGGGUUUAAAGGGUGCGUAGGCGGACUGAUAAGUCAGUGGUGAAAUCUCUCGGCUUAACCGAGAAACUGCCAUUGAUACUGUUAGUCUAGAGUACAGAUGAUGUGGGCGGAAUAUGACAUGUAGUGGUGAAAUACUUAGAUAUGUCAUAGAACACCGAUUGCGAAGGCAGCUCACAAAACUGUAACUGACGCUGAGGCACGAAAGUGUGGGGAUCAAACAGGAUUAGAUACCCCUGUAGUCCCUGAGCGGGCUGGCAAGGCGCAU
This 467-nucleotide ribosomal RNA is filed under the name uncultured bacterium. RNAcentral's name for it is "bacterial SSU rRNA". It matches the Rfam family "Bacterial small subunit ribosomal RNA", at positions 355 to 825 of the family's 1533-position model. The record is from RNAcentral.